UCUCUUCUAUCUCUUUCUCACGAUUUCACUCUAUGUACCGCCGCCUAGAGCCGCUGCGCCGCGCCUCCUAGCGCCGCCGUUGCCGGCGGUGCCUCGCUGGAGUUCGCCGCCGCCUCCCCGACCGCCGGUCGCUGAGCCGGGACUCGCUGCCGCGGUGCGUCGCCAUCCCAGACCGAGCCGAGCAAAAGAGCAGAGGAGGAAGAAGAAGGCGGAGCCGAGCCGCUGACAGGCUGACCCCAUGCCCCUUUUACCUCCAUCCCCCACUGACAAGCCGGGCCCGCGCAUCCUUCCUCCCAUCCAUCGCCGAUAGGUGGGUCCCCUCUUCUGCCGUCCCAGCUAACGGAAUAUUCCAACGGAAUAUUCCCUUACCGUCCAAAAAUUGUUAUUCCAGAAAAUUCUUUUAUUCUUUAGAAAUUCGUAGAAAAUCAACCGUAACUCCGAUUGACCCCGUUCAAGUUCCUAAAUUUUUCUAAAAUUGAAAUCUACACAGUGCCACUAUUGUUUCUCUGAUUUGAGCUAGAUUUAUUGGCUUUUCUUAAUUAGCUUUGUUUCCACGUUUAGAGCCUAAGUACGAGGAAGCUUCGGACGCCGCUUUCGAGGGAGAAGACCCGCACCCUGUGCAAGGCAAGCCUCUUUGAUCACAUUACCCCUAUAUUUUCAAUGAUACAUUGUUUGCAAAAAUGCAUUAUUUAGUUUACACGAUUAACAUGUUAGGCCUCGGAUUGUUUAUUCAACCAAUGGACCAACCUAGUAGUCGUACUUAUAUUUCAUAGGUUGAUGAUUCCAUACAUUUGAUAGCUCCACAAAUAUUUGUGCCGGUAUUGUUAUACGAUUACCGAGGUUUUGCCAUGUGGGAAACUUGGGUUAUUCCAAAUACAUGUUUAAAAAUCCGGUACGUUGUACUGAGUAGUUGUGAAAUAAAAUGUGUUGUGAAAGUGGUGAUGAUGCGGAGUCAUGCCUUUGUGGUUUGGCUACGUAUUGUCGUUAAGGACCAAUUCCUUUGGGAAAUCCAUCCAAACACGUUACAGUGCGACCACACGGGUAUUUAUGGGAUGCCUCUGGCUAAGUAAAUUGUUAUCACAUGGGAGUUGGUGUGCCAAUGGUUGUGGGAUGCCGAGGAUGAGGAGACGAAGUGUUACACAUUUUUGCCCAUCAUGGGUGUCUUUUUGCUUCUAUUGUGGCGUGGUACCAGUAGGAGUAGGAGGCAUCCUCAGUAUUUCCUGAGUGGAUGACGGCUAUCAUUGCCUGAUACUCGGCUAUGGAUCUUAGCCCAACUAGGUGGCAUGCGAUUUUCAUGGGUUAGCUUUGGAAAGGCCUUAUCACGAACUUUCAUUGCCGACGGGUAAACGAUGUCAGUUUCGUCUCGUGUGGGUAAAGCGUGCAACCUCUGCAGAGAUUAAUGAACUGUUCGAACAGCCGUGCCCACGGUCAAGGGCAAGUGUAAGGUGUUUCUCAUAGCGUAGAUUUGUUUGACAAAUGUUUGUGAAGAAGUGGUUAUUGGGAAGGGUAACGUUUCCAGAGUCCGCCUGUGUGGCAGACGGCUAACCUGGGUGGUUAGCAACGGGUCUAUGUGACCUGGGGUGUCGUCCGACACCGAGGUGUUGUUAGGGCCUUGAUGGCGUUGUUGUGCUGAGAUGUCUGUGUGGACUAUGUGUUGUUGUGAAAGUGAGAAGAAGCUAAUAGAAGAAACAAAUUAAUUGUUGUUCGUUAAUCGUGACAAGUUGUUGCAAAGCAACUUGUGAAAUGGGUCGAGGCGUGAGCCUCCUCCCGACAACUAAAACUUGACUCACUCAUUAGGAGUUUUGUGAAAUAAAUCACUUUGCCAAAAAAGCAGCUUUCGCAAAUAAAAGCCUAGCCUCCUUGUUAAACCGACAUGUCAUUCUUUCCCCUGGCUUGCUGAGUACGUUAAGUACUCACCCUUGCCCCUUAUAAUAAUCUAUAGUGUAUGAAGAUGAAGACAUCGUCCCAACCGCCGAGGAGUAUCUCCAGGAGUUAGCCGAGUAUGAAGACUUUGUUGGUAUUUCUUACGACCACAGAACAGGACUCUGGGGAUUCCUUAUGUGAGCAUGAAUCCUGGGGGGUUUUGAAAGAGAAACUUUCAUGCUCAUAUGUGGAAUGUUUUCUCUCGUCCUCCAGAGUCAAUGUCUCAAGCUUGUCCGUGGCCUAAGGGUUUUCCUUCUCAAGAGAUACAUCGUGCAAGAAUUGGGUUGUUUCAUGAUGAUAAACGAGAACAUCAUUAUGAGGGCCAGAGGGACAAGGCUUAGGCUUGAUCGAGGGUGAUGAGGGACGUUCAGUUUCAUGAAGAUGGGAAAUAGAUUCAGAAGAAACGAACGAAGAUACAAACAUCACCUUCUCGAACGGCUCAUGCUUGGGAUGAGCCUUCUUUUCGCUGGAAUAAUUCAGGGUGUUCUCAUAAUUUUCAUAAAGAUCACCCCUGAAUUGGAAUGGAAUUUUCGGAGGAUGAAUUUCUUCUUCCUCCGGCUCCAGCGACUGGAAUGAGGAUUCGACAGUUGAGUCGGGUUCCGACUCCACGUGCAGAGGAUACUCAUGGAUAAUCUCGAUCUCCGGGCAUGCUUCGCUUUGGCCGAAAGAAUCGUUCUCUAAGAUCAGAUCUAAGAGUUCUUUUCCUUCGGCAGUUGUCUUGUGUGCGAACGAUCCUCCAGCGAAAAUAUCGAGAUUUGUAGCAGACUCCUUGUCUAACCCGUAUCGAAAAUGUUGUAACAACACAUGGUCGGGUAAACACAAGUUUGGGCCAGACUGAGUUAACAAUGAGAACCUGGCCCAGGCUGCACCGAGAGAUUCCUUCUCAUUCUGUCGGAAAGAAAGGAUGUCUAAUCGAAGAUUGAUUACACGGGUUAAUGGAAAGAAAGUAAGGCAGAAAUUGCACUUAAGCUCCUCCCAUUCACCGUGGAAUUUCUUGACAGACAUAGUGUACCAUUGCUUCGCUUUAUCUCUAAGAGAAAAAGGAAACAACUUCCACUUUAGAGUUUCAUGUGUCAUGCCUACGAUGGAUAGGCACAAACACACUAGCUCAAGAUCCCGAAGAUAGAGGUAUGGGUUUUCACCGAUACUACCAGAGAAGGUUUGCUCUCGAAUCAUGGCUAUAAAGCCAGGACUGAUUUCGUAGCCAUCAGAAAGGAUUGGUUUUGAAGAACAGGACGGCUCACAAAGAUCAGCCCGAGGAGCAGAAAGGUUUUGAAUUGUGGGUUGCUCCAUCAAGGAAAAGAAUAAAAGAAAAAUAAAUAAAAAUAAAGAUAUGAGGAUGACCUAGACUCAGAUAAAUUAGCAACCGUUCCCCAGCAACGGUGCCAGAAAUGCUUGUUGGUAUUUCGUACGACCACAGAUAAAUCCACAAGUGCACGGAAUAUCGCUGUAGCACUUCACCUUCGGGUGACCCCAAAAGGAUAUCGAACUCAGGGAACGUGUGUAAUCUACCUAAGACUAAGACUGUCCAAGGACAACAACUGAUGGUAGGUAGGCUAGGCUAGAGAGGACUUUCUAUGUUUCUUAAUUUUCUAAGCUAAGCAAAGGUAAUUUCCUAUCUAUAGCUCUAUGAUGCAUCCAAACGUGGAGGAUUACUGGGACGGAAUUCAGGGCUGUCACCACCUGCCGCCUACCUCGGACAAAUCCAUGGGAUACACAAAACAAAGGUAAUCUCUAACCUAGACACCACGUCUAAGUUAUUAAUUACUACUCUAAUACUCUCUAACCUAGACACCACGUCUAAGUUAUUAAUUACUACUCUAAUACUCGUACAGGAACUUCCUUCUUUAUCCAGAGUCCUAGUACUAGAGCACUUAGUAUGAAUACUAAACAAUGAACCCGCAAAGAUGGAAAUAUAUCUUACUCAGACUAAAUAAUUAAAUAACAUAAGAAAGGAACACGAAUGCUUACUUAAUAGAAGAAGGUUCUCCGAACCCGGAGCAGAGUGUACCGACAGCUCCGGUACUCCUCCAGAAUUCCUCCUAGGAAGCUACACUCGUCGAGGUAGAAGUCGGAUGAGCGCCAAACUUCCGGGCACUCCUCCAGAGCUUGCCCUCACUCUCUACCUUAUUCUAAUGUAGAAAAGAUACAAAAGAGCCUCUUGUAAUUCAGCUCAAAGUUGUGUGUUGUGAAUGAAUGAGAGGAGCUCUAUUUAUAGCCUCCAUAUGACGGUUACAGGUAUGGGAAACGACCAAACUACCCUCCAACCAUCAUUAGGAAGAGAUCAGGGCCAUCCACAUCGAAUCUCACGAUCAACGGCCACAAAAAGUGUUCGGGCCGAACUCGAGACGGCUCCGUUCGGCCCAUUUUUUAUCGUGGACACUAAUUUUGAGACCCUCAGCCUAUUGGCAUGAUAGUUGGGCCCAUUUGGAGUUGUUUACUUGACUUAUGGGGCCUCCAAUCCGUGUAAAUGUAUCCUGAAUGCGCGGAGGUGCAGUUUGUUGCUUGACGGAUGUGUUUUCUUCUCAAAAUACCUGCAUACACAUAUUUCACCAACACUAGUGGAAAUGAUUAGUAAUAAUACCUACCACUAAGUUGGAUACCAUGUUUUAUUUCAUUAUAUGUAGGUAAUGACGGUCAGAUAUUAUGAUUUAAGAACCGUCAACAGACUUCUAGAUGUUUCGUGCCUAGCCCCAAAGCUCGCCUGUGGAAUAAGUUAGUUGCCUAGGUUCUUUGCCUAGUGCAUAGUCGCUUAGUCGCUUAGUUCUCCGCGCUAUUCGCUAGUCGCUUAGUUCUCCGCGCUGUUCGCUUCUGCGUCGUCGCUUUUAUGGUUUUCUGUAAUGUUGUGUUGCUCAUCUAUGGACCUGUCCAUGGUGGCAACUUAUGUAAGGACUACUACCCAGUGAUGUAAUAAAACAGUUUUCUUUGAUUCCACAGUUAUUCUGCGUGUAAAAGCUAGUGUAUCCUGGGACUGGUACUAUAUCACAGGUAAUGCAUAACACCUCGGUGUGAAUUAGCUGUGUUUAUGGCUAACGAAUGUCGGGGCGUUACAGCAACUGAGACCCCAACAACAGCAAACAAAUUGCAUCCGGCCAUAUCGUCUCGGCGGAGAUUAAUCCGAUAGUAGGCAACCAAUGACCCAUCAUCCUCCCACCACGGCUCGACGGCAGCGUCGAUGGGAGGUCAACGGCGGCGGCGCCUCACUUCAGCAUUAACUCCAGCGGCAACAACGACAUGGGUUUAGGGCUUUUUCUGAGACGGCUGUUUCCCGCGACGGCAUCGACGCAAGGCCGAUGGCGUACCCAACAGCGACAGCGAACAAUGGCCAACAUGUCUCCAAGUCCGACUGCACAGACUGAGAAUAUGUCGCCGUGUUUCCGGCGUGGCGUCAUCAGAGAAAGAGAGAAACAGAUAGAUGCGAGGGAGGGUGGGCGAGACGGUUGGUUCGGCCCAGCCGAAUUUGGCACGUCUCCAGUCC
This 5401-nucleotide long non-coding RNA is filed under the name Oryza sativa (Asian cultivated rice). RNAcentral describes it as "long non-coding RNA (OSAT_LNC001830)". Lineage: Eukaryota; Viridiplantae; Streptophyta; Magnoliopsida; Poales; Poaceae. The record is from RNAcentral.